Molecule: transfer RNA, 72 nt
Filed under: Acavomonas peruviana
Lineage: Eukaryota; Colponemida; Acavomonidia
Description: tRNA-Ile
Rfam family: tRNA
About the family: Transfer RNA (tRNA) molecules are approximately 80 nucleotides in length. Their secondary structure includes four short double-helical elements and three loops (D, anti-codon, and T loops).
Source: RNAcentral
AGGCUAAUAGCUUAAUGGUGGAGCACAUCAUUGAUAAUGAUGGGGUUGAUAGUUCGAAUCUAUUUUAGCCUA